AUGGAGGGCGACAGCCAGACGUCGCCGGCAGCGGCCGCCGUAUCCAAGGUGCUCGAAGACGACGACCUCCUCGUAGAGAUCCUUCUCCACGUCGGAUUCCCCACCACCCUCGUCCGCGCCGCCCUCGUCUGCAAGCGCUGGCUGGGGCACGCCUCCGAGCCCGCCUUCCUCCGCCGUUUCCGCAAGCUCCACCCGCCCCGCCUCCUCGGCUUCUACAUCGACGACAGGUACUGUGACUCCGCUCCGCCAACCUUCGUCCGGAUGCUGCCGCAGCCCGCAGAGCUCUCUGCCAUCGUCCGCCGCACAAAUUUCAGCGCCUACAGGAGGCUAUCGCCCGGCAUGCUUGACUGCCGGAACGGCAGCGUAUUCACCACCUUGUACACAGACAAGAGCGCUCUUGGGGUGCACCGCCCGCUGUGCCAUGGGGGAGGUCUGACCAUCGUCCCAUCACUCCCACGCCCUCUACUCCCCUUGGGCAGUUCCUGCACUUUCAGACAAGUCCUCUCCAAGCAAGGGGAUGGCCUGUCCUACUACUACUUGUACGUGGAGUCUAGCAACCAAGAAUCUAGGAUGCACGUAUAUAUGAUGCAGGAUGGUUCCUGGCGCAGGCAUCAUCUCUUGGACAUAGACCAACUCCGCCGUCCGCGCUCAAUGCCAAAAGCUGUGCUCGUCGGCAAUAAAAUUUAUAUGGCGGCAGGCCCAAGCGACAUUCUUGUCUUCGAUUUGACGACCUCGAGUUUCUCCAUGGUUCGGCUUCCACAAGGAGUGGAGCAUGGCAACGGAGCCACCACCAUGUUGUCACGGGCCGGUGAUGCUUCUGGUGUAUAUCUCAUCCAGCUUAAGGAGUUUCAACUCCGCAUCUGGCUCCGCAAGGGGGACAACUGGUUGCUGGUUGAUACUAUCUGCCUGCAUGAAAUGUGUGAUAAUUUGAGGAAGUCGGAUUCCACAAUCAAGGAUGAGCAUAGUGUUCUUCUCAUGGACCAGGUGGUGGACUAUGGUGACUUUGUGUUCUUGCAGAUGGGUGGAUGUGUACUGCACUUGGAUGUCAGGUGCAGGACACUACGUAAAGUGUAUGAAUACAGAAGCACUCGUUACCGUGAUAUCCAUCCUUUUAUGAUGAUCUGGCCUCCCAUAUUCCCCGCGGUCAAGUAUGAUCCUCCAAGAACUGCAACUUGA
This 1176-nucleotide ribosomal RNA is filed under the name Triticum aestivum (bread wheat). Its description in RNAcentral is "partial small subunit ribosomal RNA". The record is from RNAcentral. Lineage: Eukaryota; Viridiplantae; Streptophyta; Magnoliopsida; Poales; Poaceae.